AGGCGUCACACCUUUUAAUCUUCUUAAGACGAGGAGAACGACUGGAAACGGUCGCUAAAACUGGAUAGGAUCAUUUGAGGCAUCUCGGAUGAUUUAAGGGGGCUUUCAAGCCACACUUAUAGAAAGGCCUGCGGCGCAUUAUCUAGUUGGUGGUGUAGAGGACUACCAAGGCGAUGAUGCGUAUCCGGACUGAGAGGUCGAACGGCCACAUUGGGACUGAGACACGGCCCAAACUCCUACGGGAGGCAGCAGUAGGGAAUUUUCGGCAAUGGGGGAAACCCUGACCGAGCAACGCCGCGUGAAUGAAGAAGUAUUUCGGUAUGUAAAGUUCUUUUAUUGAGGAAGAAUGGGUUGGGAAGGAAAUGACCUGACCGUGACGGUACUCAAUGAAUAAGCCCCGGCUAACUAUGUGCCAGCAGCCGCGGUAAUACAUAGGGGGCAAGCGUUAUCCGGAAUUAUUGGGCGUAAAGGGUGCGUAAGCGGUCUGUUAAGUCUAAGGUGUAAGUGCAAGGCUCAACCUUGUGAUGCUUUUAUAAACUGGUGGACUAGAUAUAGAUAGAGGCAAGUGGAAUUCCAUGUGUAGCGGUAAAUGCGUUAAUAUAUGGAGGAACACCAGUGGCGAAGCGGCUUGCUGGGUCUAUACUGACGCUGAGGCACGAAAGCGUGGGGAGCAACAGAUUAAUACUCUGUAGUCACGCCGUUUACGAUGAGUACUAAGUGUUUGGGGGAACCAUGCUGUAGUUAAAAUUUAGUACUCGCCUGAAUAGUACGUACGCAGUAUGAACCUCAAGGAAUGCCGGGAACCCGCCCCAGCGUUGCA
RNAcentral lists this ribosomal RNA (820 nucleotides) under uncultured Acholeplasma sp. Its description in RNAcentral is "bacterial SSU rRNA". It matches the Rfam family "Bacterial small subunit ribosomal RNA", at positions 104 to 936 of the family's 1533-position model. The record is from RNAcentral. Lineage: Bacteria; Bacillati; Mycoplasmatota; Mollicutes; Acholeplasmatales; Acholeplasmataceae.